Molecule: ribosomal RNA, 222 nt
Filed under: uncultured prokaryote
Description: partial 16S ribosomal RNA
Rfam family: Bacterial small subunit ribosomal RNA
Source: RNAcentral
ACGUAGGCAGCAAGCGUUGUUCGGAGUUACUGGGCGUAAAGAGUGCGUAGGCGGUCUGGCAAGUUCGGUGUGAAAUCUCCCGGCUUAACUGGGAGGGUGCGCCGAAGGCUGUUGGGCUGGAGUAUGGGAGAGGCAGGCGGAAUUCCUGGUGUAGCGGUGAAAUGCGUAGAUAUCAAGAGGAACACCUGAGGUGAAGACGGGUUGCUGGGCUGACACUGACGC